UUAGAGUUUGAUCCUGGCUCAGGAUGAACGCUGGCGGCGUGCCUAAUACAUGCAAGUCGAACGAAUCUCUUCGGAGAUGAGUGGCGAACGGGUGAGUAAUACAUAGGUAACCUGCCCCUGUGCGGGGGAUAACAGGAGGAAACUCCUGCUAAUACCGCAUAGCCAUGAGCACCGCAUGGAGCUCAUGCCAAAUAUCCUUUCGGGGAUAGCGCAGGGAUGGACCUAUGGCGCAUUAGCUUGUUGGCGGGGCAACGGCCCACCAAGGCAACGAUGCGUAGCCGGCCUGAGAGGGCGGACGGCCACAUUGGGACUGAGACACGGCCCAGACUCCUACGGGAGGCAGCAGUAGGGAAUUUUCGGCAAUGGGGGAAACCCUGACCGAGCAACGCCGCGUGAGCGAAGAAGGCCUUCGGGUCGUAAAGCUCUGUUGUAAAGGAAGAACGGCGCAUACAGGAAAUGGUAUGCGAGUGACGGUACUUUACCAGAAAGCCACGGCUAACUACGUGCCAGCAGCCGCGGUAAUACGUAGGUGGCGAGCGUUAUCCGGAAUCAUUGGGCGUAAAGAGGGAGCAGGCGGCCGCAAGGGUCUGUGGUGAAAGACCGAAGCUAAACUUCGGUAAGCCAUGGAAACCGGGCGGCUAGAGUGCGGAAGAGGAUCGUGGAAUUCCAUGUGUAGCGGUGAAAUGCGUAGAUAUAUGGAGGAACACCAGUGGCGAAGGCGACGGUCUGGGCCGCAACUGACGCUCAUUCCCGAAAGCGUGGGGAGCAAAUAGGAUUAGAUACCCUAGUAGUCCACGCCGUAAACGAUGGUCACUAAGUGUCGGGGGUCAAACCCCGGUGCUGCAGUCAACGCAAUAAGUGACCCGCCUGAGUAGUACGUUCGCA
RNAcentral lists this ribosomal RNA (885 nucleotides) under uncultured bacterium. RNAcentral describes it as "bacterial SSU rRNA". It matches the Rfam family "Bacterial small subunit ribosomal RNA", at positions 1 to 890 of the family's 1533-position model. The record is from RNAcentral.